Long non-coding RNA from Prosopis cineraria, 7894 nucleotides. RefSeq lists it as uncharacterized. The transcript is spliced from 2 exons. NCBI's taxonomy places the organism in Eukaryota, Viridiplantae, Streptophyta, Magnoliopsida, Fabales, Fabaceae. The record is from RefSeq and is a predicted model, not a curated record.
UGCUUGCAAAUCACAUAUAAAAAAUUUACAUAUCUACUCAUAGACAGCUGAGCACUUUAAUCAAAUAGUGUAAAUUAUGUUGUUAUCUUAACCCUUUUGUUACAAAAAGAGUUAUCAUGGUCUAAUAUUUUCUCCACACGUUCAACUUCCAUGAUAACACUCGAAUAACACUUAAUCUAUACAAUUAAGCAAUAAUGAUCAACUAUCACUCCAAAUAAACCUCGAAAUCACUAAAUUUUGAGUACUCACUAUACCCAAAAAUCUCAUUUUAUUAACAUCACCAAUUCUAAUACACUCCAUUAAUUCUAUUUUACAUCCAAACACACUAAUAUCACCAACCAUUGGUUCACAUUGUUUUAAAACUCCUAAAUUAUACAUAGCGUUCGUUUAAUACCUCAACAAAAAUUUUAAAUCCAUACAAAACCCAUAAACCUAGGGUUAGAGGCUUGAUUUAACUCCCCAAGAUCUUAACUAAGUAAUGGGUUAGGUUAUAGUCCAAGGAAACCGAAAUUAAAGCUUACAUUGCCCCCAAAAAGUUAGAAAUUCACAUAAAAGGAAAGGGAGACAGAAUAGGGAACUUACAUGAUGAUUAAAUCUCGUAUUGCCUUUAAUGUGCCCUUAGGAUCAUGCCCAAAUAGCCACGAGCUCCUUCUCAAAUGGUCCUCUUGAUAUCUCUCUUUCUCCUUUCUGAAAUCAAACACAUUUUGCGUCUGAUAAAUGUCAGAUUUUAGUGAUGUUAAGUGUGUGCCACAGCACAUGGCACAGAAUCUACCAUAUGCCUUUUUGGCUACCUAUUGAACUGGAUUGAUCUAUUCACCAUCUUAGCCCAUUUCCAAAGCUGUUCAUAGGUCAAAAACUCUAUUAGUAUCCUAAAACACUAUUAGCUAAAAAGUCAUCAAUUUUGACCAAAUUACCCUUUUUAAACACUUAAAGUCCUAAGUUAAAAAUUUAGAAUGUUAUAGAAGGAAUUAGGUAUGAAAGAUUUUUAGAGUGAGAAGCUCCACCUUCUCUCUAGAUUCCUGGAGAGAAGGUUCUUCUUCUUCUUCCUCUGCCUUACACUUUUUCUUCUAACUUUCAUGAAUUUCAAAUAAAGUCUAGAUCCUAAUUUCAUCUUUUGUGCUUCCUUCCAAAAGGAAACCAUGAAUCCUCUUGCUUCCAAAGAGGAAAUUGAUUUACUCAAUAGGAAUAGUUCCAAGCCUGAUGAAGAAAUGAUAGAUAAGGGCUCAAAAAAAUUAGAUAUUAGAAACAAAAGUCCAACAAUGCUGUCUGAACCAGUCAAAGAAUUCAAACAAUCAACUAUAAGAAUAGCUUAUGAAUACUCACCAAGAUAAAAGUCCAGAAACUCACAUACAACAAAACAAAUCAACACCAUUGACUAAAGGAGUCAAAAUACCCAUUUCUUAUAAAGAAUCACUGAUAGGCUAUAAUGGGUGUUAUGGAAUCCAGUCAGGAAGAGAAAUCAAACAAAGAAAUGAAUCUCUUGCUUUAGAAUUAGAAAAAGAAUGGACGCCCUCUGAAAGAACAAUGAAUCUGAUCAACCAAUACCCUGCUUUAUAGAUAUCAAAUGAAGAAUGGAAGAAAAUAUGUAUGCCCUGGAUGGAUGUUAUAGUUAUCAACACAUUAGGACUUUAACUCAAUCCUAGAUUACUCAAACUAAGGUUAGCUAAAAUGUGGCAACUUAAAGACUUUGAAUUGAUUGAUUUGGUUAAUAGCUACUAUAUAGUUAGAACAAAAGACCCUUUUGCCUAUGAUAAAAUUCUCACUGGGGGCCCUGGACCAUAUUUGAUCAUUGCAUUUUAGUUCAGAGGUGGUAUCCUACUUUCAAUCCCAACUCUAAUAUAUUAGGCAAAAUUGCUUUAUGGGUUAGAUUAUUGAAUAUCCCUAUUCAAUAUUACAAUAAAGAAAUCCUCUGUAGAAUAGGCAAUUGCAUAGGCAAAACAUUAAAGUUAGAUUCAAAUUCUCUAUCGAAAGCUGACUCUAUAGACAAGAAUGGCAAGACUGAAAGAGGGAAAUUUGUAAGAAUAAGUGUGGAAGUAGAUCUACAAAAGAAACUUGUUCUCAGAAUCCUGAUAAGAGAUGAGCUUUAUAAUGUGGAGUAUGAAAGUCUCAACUCAAUCUACUUCAGUUGUGGGUGCUAUGGGCAUAACAAAAGCUACUAUUCCUAAAAUCCAAAGAACCAAAACCCAGAACAUCUAAGCAGGAUCGAAAGCAAUAGUAAAAGCAUAUUUCCAGACCAUAAUCUAUUUACUUCAAGGAAUCAUAAGAGAGAAAAGGAGAAUCAGAUUCAAAACACAGGAGGCCCGUCGGACAUGAACGAAAACUUGCUAGAAGAAGAAUUUGGACACUUCAUGCGAUUUUGGCGUGAUGCUUGAUGCUCCAGAAAUACAUAAAAUAUGAGAAAUCAGUCGGAUAAUUAAGCUAUACGUCACGAUCGAGGUCCUAAGCCUACUUCUGGGACACAAUUUGAGGUACUUGUAGACCUUAAGCAAGAAAUUAUCGGAUAAGGGAGAGAUGAAGAUAGAAUGAGCAAUGGUGGACCUAAACAGCCAGCUCCUACAAAGAGUGCCUGACAAAUAUAGAGGAAGAAGGAAAUAGCAAGUCUGAAGAGGGAUAGGUCGAUUGAUCAAGAGUCUGAAGAAACGAUGGAAUGUACAAAAGGAAAAGAAAAACUGACUGGAGAGGAAAAAGGAAGCAAGUUCACGCAUUUUGGGCCUUUAUUCUCUUGGAACGGCCCAAUGUUGUUAGUGUGGAAAAUUCAGUCCAAUCUGAAUUGAAGGCUAAAACUGAAUCCAUUAAACCCACUAAAAGAAAUCAUACUGUUGUGAGAGGAAGCAAAAGGAAUAUGAUAUCUUUAGAAAGGCCUAAUACUGUGAAUAACUCAAAGAUCAUCUAUGAUAAAGCUACAAAGAUUAAAAGCGACAAAGGAUUUAUUUUCUCCCUAAAUUUAACUAUUUGGAAAAAUGGUCAGCAUAGAAUAUCUGAUCAAAAUUCUCCAACCCCUUCCAAUCAUCAACUUGACCAGAGAGAACCUUAUGAUACUAUAGACAGCCAAAUUUUUGUUCCAAAAACACAAUUAAAUAUAGCUGUUGCUGUGGAGUCAAAUAACGAUUCAACUGGACUAGAUAAUGCUGGUCACACCUCUCCAGCAGACUAUGAAGAUGACAUUCUGGAUGAAUAUUACCAAAUUCACGCUCAAAACAACAAUCUAAAGGAUGAUGAAUUCAGUGAUGAGGAUAUUGAAGACAGAUACCUAAUUUCAUCCAAGUUUACCUAAUCCUUUUAAUUAUUUUAUGGAUAUUAUUUGUUGGAAUUGUAGGGGUACUUGUGCUAAACGCUUUCCUAAACACAUUAAAGAAAUAAUUGCUACUUAUAAUACUCAAAUUUUUAUUUUUUUAGAAACUAGAGCUAGUGGCUCUAGAGCUAAUAAUAUUGUUAAAAAAUUAGGCUUUUCUGAUUGGAUUUGUGUUGAAACAACUGGUUAUGCUGGAGGCAUUUGGCUUUUAUGGAAUAAUUAUAUUGUUAAUAUUGAUUAUAUUUAUUCUAAUGUUCAACUUCUCCAUUACAAGGUCAAUUUUAAAUCUACUAAUAACUAUUAUAUGCUUUAUUGUGUUUAUGGUAAUCCUAAUCCUUUUAGCCAUGAUCUUCUCUAGGAUUCUAUUAAUUCUAUUGCUCAAAAUAAUUUUGAGCCUUAGCUUAUUGUUGGAGAUUUUAAUGCCUAUCUUUCUUAUGAAGACAAAUCUGGUGGUGAUAACUUUAAUUGGAAAUCCAUGAAACAACUUUGACAGUGCAUAAAUUCUCCUAAUCUUCUAGAAUUAAAUUUCCAUGGAGAUAGAUUUACUUAGGAAAAAGGUAAAUUAAAAGAACGUUUGGAUUGGGCUUUCUGUAAUACUAGUUAGAGACUUAAAUUUUACCAAGCUGAUUCCUUCCAUCUUUUCAAAUUUAGUUCUGACCAUCGCCCAAUUAGAAUCCAACUUACUAGAAAGGAAAACUAGAAUCACAAGAUUAUUCCUUUUAGAUGUCAUGCUGCUUGAACUCUUGAAGACUCUUUUCACCCUCUGGUUAAAGAUUCUUGGAGCAAAGAUGACUGGAAUGAAGGGGUCUCAAAAAUCACCUCAUUUGCUCCCCUUUGGAACAAGAAUAAAAUUGUUAAUAUAUCCUCCAAAAAGAAAAGAAUCUUAUGUUGUCUGGAAGGUAUUGACAAGAGUAGAACCUAAAACGAUAAUUACUUUCUUAAGAACUUAGAAAAAUCUCUAUGGGAAGAUUACAAUCAAGUCCUAUUGCAAGAAGAGUUGAUUUGGUUCCAAAAACUAGUUGCAAGUGGCUAAAAUGGGGGGAUUAAAACACCAAAUUAUUUCAUGCUACAUCCGUUAUUAGAAGGAAGAGGAAUCAUAUUCUCUUGCUCCAAGCUGAAGAUGACACUUGGGUUCAAGACCAUGAUAAUUUGAAAAAUAUGACUGUUACUUAUUUUGAUAAUCUCUACAAGGACAAUCCUGAUGUCAAACCCUAAGCUUAUUACUGAUAAAAAUUUUCCUACUCUCUCUUCCAUUCAACUUCAAUCUCUUCAUAAAGAGGUGACUGAUGAAGAAAUAAAAAAUGCUACUUUUGAGAUUGGGGCGUUUAAAGCUCUAGGUCCUAAUGGCAUCAAUACUAGCUUCAUUCAUACCUACUGGGAUGAUCUAAAGCAUACUAUUAUCAAGCUUGCCAAAAAAGUGUUCAAGGAUUAAAGAAUGUCAUGAGCAUAUGCAACAAUCAAAUGUAAUACCUUAUUGAAUCAUGGUUAUAAGCCAUAAUCAUGUGGGUAGGAUUAAAGUAACUCAUUAAAUUUCAUAGUCACGUUCUUUAUGAUUUCUCCACAAUUUGUCACACAUAUAUAUAUAUAUAUAUAUUAUCUCUAUACAAGUUUGAGGUAUCAUAAUCAAUUAGACAAAAAUUAUGCAUGAGCAUAUUUAUAUCAAUCACCACAUCAAAUAUAGUUUGUACCCACAUGGAGAAACUCCAAGUUACAUGUUCUCUUUGAGCUAACAAGUAGUCACACAUCAAAUCCAAUCAAAAAGAGGUCUCAGUAAGAGACUACAUAAAUCAUACAUGUAUAAACAUGUUAAUAUAUAAUCCAAAAUUGUUAAAAGAUUAUCCUAAAGCUACUUUACGUUACGCUGAAGUUAUUUUAAAAUUUAAAGCUAUAUUAGAGAACCCAAAAAUUAUCUUUUAAAUACAUAUCCAUUUGUAUAAAUUAGUCUAUCUAUAAUUAGAAUUUCAAUAACCCUUUUUGUAAUAGCUCAAAAGUAUUAGUUUACAUUCUCUAGUAGUCUUAGAUAUUUGCUCUAAGACUCAAACCUUAUUUUAAGAGUCCUCAAAUAUCAUAUGAAAUUUAUACGUAGAGAAUAAAUCUUCUAAAAUCUCCAAAAUAAAUCUACAAAUAUUUCAAAGUAAUUUUCUAUUAGCAAAAAGAUCCAAAAAUUCUAAAUAUGUCAGAUUCUAAAUUUUUCUACUAUCAAGAAUAUGAAAAAUAAGAAGAUAAACAAGUAAAAUAAAAUUUUCAGGGUACUUACAUAGUCUUGAAAAAUUUCAAACCAUCCUUAAAAUAUUUUCUCAUAAUACCCAAAAUCUAAAAUCACUCACCCUUGCUUCCCUCUCAUAUCCACACAAAAUGCCGCUGUAAUGGAAUUAUGCAAUUGGUAUGUGGUUCACUUUUAUAUGAAGUACAUAUUGUUUAUAUGAACUUUUAUUUUAUUUUAAACUUAAUAUAAAACUUUGUUUAUUUUUUUCAUUUAGAUACCUAUAUAAAAAUUAUAUUGUCCUUAGUGACCUUUUAUCAAAGUUUGUCUUUAUCUAUCCUCAUGAGAGGUGUGGCAUGGCCAAGCUCAAACAUUAAUAAAGUAUUUCGAGGCAAUGAACCUUAAUACAAGGACAUUAUUCCUGGUGCCUUAUGUACAAAGGUGAGUUCAAUGGUAUCCUAAUUAAUUUAAUUUAUCUUGUCAUUUUUAGUUUCAUGACAUGAGCUUUCAAAUUGUUUUAGAAAUUGUUAGAGGCUAAUCGAUGUAGGAUAGGCUAGCACCCAAAGGGGGUGAAUUAAUCAUUAAAUAAUAAUAUAUAUUAAUAAUUAAUAUUAACUAAAUAAAAUUUAAUAAAAUAAUAUUUCAUCUUAUAAAAAACUAAUUAAAUAUUGAAUCAAGUAGAGAGGUGGUAUUUCCAAGUUUGGCAAAGCCACCUCUCUUCACUUGAUUAUUAAAUAUUACUAUAUAUUAAUUAUAAAUGCUACAUAAAUAAAUUAUAAUAAAAUAAUUAUUUAAUAUGAUAAAACAAAAUUUUAAGCUAAAAAGAGAGUAUAGAUGUGGCAUUUUGAAACUUCUAUGAUUUUAUUUACUAAACAAUAUGUUGUACUAAUUAAAAUUGUCAAUUAAAUAAAAUAUAUUGAAUUAUGUAUUUAACAAGAUAAAAAAAAUACUAAAUCAAUAACAAAGCAGAGAUGAAACACCACAUCUAUUGUUUUUUAAUUGGUAAAUAAUAUAUAUUAAUAAUUAAUAUUAAUUAAAUAAAUUUUAAUAAAAUAAAAUUUUAUUUUAUAAAAAUUUAAUUAUAUAUUGAAUGAAGAAGAGGGGUGGUGUUUCCAAGUUUGGAAAUGCCACCUCUCUUCAUUUGAUUAUUAAAUAUUACUACAUAUUAAUUAUAAACACUAAAUAAAUAAAUUAUAAUAAAGUAAUUAUUUAAUAUGAUAAAAUAGAAUUUUAAGCCAAUAAGAGAGUAUAGAUGUGGCGUUUUGAAGCUAAAAAAAUGAUAGCUCUCUAAUUUUAUUUAUUAAAAAAUAUGUCGUAGUAAUUAAAAUUAUCAAUUAAAUAAAUUAGGGAAAAUAUCUUUGUGGGUCCUUAUAGUUUACCUUAGUUUUGAAUCAGGUCCCUAUACUUUCAAUUGUUGUAAUCAAACCCUUAUAUUUUUAACUGUUAAGCCCAUUAGUCCUUUUCCAUUUAACACUAUUAAAAGUUAACAUAUUUCUAAACUCUGUUAGUGUAAAAUAAUUAGAAGCCAAAGAGAAAAAAAAUUGACACGCUGGACGAACACCGUGGACUGGGAGAAGUGAAACAUGAAAUAGGUUAUUCAUGCUAGUUCUCUAUAAACGCCACUGUGGAGAACAAGAGACGUCGUGGUGGUGGCCAUUGCCAAAGCUUUUUUGGUUCUGCUCAGUUGUCAUUUUGAUUCAUCUUCGGCUCGCCUGUGCUAGUGAAAGAGGUAAGCUUUUUCAUUGUCUUGUUUUUCCAGUCAUCUUCGGUCACACUGAUGCUCUAUGAAUGUCACGGUAGAGAAUAAGAGAAACAACAUGUUGCUUUUAUGGCCAAAGCUUUUUCGGUUCUGCUUCAUUAUCAUUCUAAUUCAUCUUGAGUUCACCUAUGCUGGUGAAAGAGCUUGCUUUCAUUUUAAUGGAACCCCAAGAUGAAAAAGAAAUAGGCCGUGGUGAUAAAUGCCUUCUAUAAAUUUUUACUUGGAGUUAAAGUACCAAAAGGAUACUCUUCAAAUAUCAGUAGCUCAUGUCUAUGAAAGAUCUCAAACUAGAGGGUAUGAAGACUCAUGACUGCCAUAUUAUUAUGAAAAAUCUAUUGUGGUAGGUAUAUGCUCCAUUUUGCUAAAGAAGAUUCAUGAAACUAUUACCAAACUUUGUUUCUUCUUUAAAGGAAUUUGUAGCAAAGUGAUUAACCUAGAGAACUUGCCUAAAUUAGAGCAUGAAAUAGCUAAGAUCUUGUGUAAGCUUGAAAUGUAUUUUCCAACUUUGUUUUUUGACAUCAUGGUUCACUUGUCAUUUUACUUGGUUAAAGAGACAAAGUUGUGUGGCCUAACUUAUCUGAGGUGGAUGUACCCGAUAGAGCAUUACUUGAAGGUAUUAAAAGGAUAUGUGAAAAAUUAA